RNAcentral lists this ribosomal RNA (253 nucleotides) under uncultured bacterium. Its description in RNAcentral is "partial 16S ribosomal RNA". It matches the Rfam family "Bacterial small subunit ribosomal RNA", at positions 524 to 776 of the family's 1533-position model. The record is from RNAcentral.
UACGUAGGGUGCGAGCGUUAAUCGGAAUUACUGGGCGUAAAGCGUGCGUAGGCGGUCCGCGAAGUCUGAUGUGAAAGCCCCGGGCUCAACCUGGGAACUGCAUUGGAAACUAACGGGCUCGAGUGUGGCAGAGGGGGGUGGAAUUCCACGUGUAGCAGUGAAAUGCGUAGAUAUCAAGAGGAACACCUGCGGCGAAGGCGGGUUGCUGGGCCGACACUGACGCUGAUGCGCGAAAGCUAGGGGAGCGAACGGG